This 488-nucleotide long non-coding RNA is filed under the name Canis lupus dingo (dingo). Its description in RNAcentral is "lncRNA (ENSCAFG00020011533.1)". The record is from RNAcentral. Lineage: Eukaryota; Metazoa; Chordata; Mammalia; Carnivora; Canidae.
AACAGAACAACCCAACUCUUUCAGAGUCUACAAGUACUUUCUGAGGAAUAACAUUUCCAGAUUUCUGCUAAACAUGAUGCAUGUUAAAAGCAGUGCAAAAAAAAAAAAAUGCAGAAGGACACCUUGAAAGCUGUCAUUCAGGGAAAUCCUCACAAGGGGUGUGAAGAAAUGCCCUUUAACUCUUGAGAUAAUUGAUGUCAUCUGGGUAAAUGUAAUUGUAAUAGAAAUACAUGUGCAUAUAUUUAGAUAGAACUUGACUUACUGGCAACUUUAUUAUCAUGGCAGCUGCAGGCUGGAAUUUAUCACUUUCAUAUGACCAUGCUUAGUACCAAAAACAUCAGAAACUGCUAGAUACCAUGUGUACACUUUUUCUUAAAUUGUUGAUUGACCACAUAGAUCAUUUGAAGAGUAGCUAUUCUCCAAAGCUGAAAAGUUAGUUGUGUAUGGAGGUGGCUUCUUGAAUAGCAUGAGUAAGUGGCACUGUUUUC